CAAGUUUCAGAUGUUUAUGAAAAAAUAAAUUCAUAAUUGACUGGUGAGAAUUACAAUAAAGCUCUUUAAGGAAAUUGCUAGAGAAAACGUCACUGCCACAACUACCAUAUUAGAGUUUAGCCUCUAAGAACAACCAAAUAGCCUUCUUGAGAAGCAUCAUGCACGCUAAUGACAAGGUAAUUUUUUGCUUCAUUUUAUUUUGUUUUGAUCACAGUGCCAUAUGAUGGUAAAGAUCACAAGUUUGGGUGCCAUACAAAAUGGGGUUAGAAAUUCACUUCUUUUUCGGGACUGGGGAUGUGGCUCAAGUGGUGGCGCGCUCGCCUAGCAUGCGUGAGGCACUGGAUUCGAUUCUCAGCACCACAUAAAAAUAAAAUAAAGAUAAUGUGUCCACCUAAAACUAAAAAAUAAAUAUUAAAAAAAAUUCACUUCUUUUUCUUUUUAGUGUGUGACUUUAAGAAAACUGUGAAAUCUCUCUGUGCCUCACUCUUCUCAUCUAGAAAGCAGAGAGAACAAUUAUCAUAAGAAUUGUCAUGAAGGUAAAAUGAAGGAAUCCACAACAAGCAUAACAUGGUGCCUGUCGCAUAGCUGAUUCCCUGUAACUGACUACAGAGAUAGAGAAAGAAGAGCGUUUUCUGGAGGACAGCUAUGGGCAAGGUUUUGUUCUAAGCACUUUGCUUACAUUAUUCAUUUCACCUCCUGAGAAUCCUGUGGGGUAAGCACUACUCUUAUCCUCAUUUUGUACUUAGGAAAACUUGUCCAUGGGUCAUUUACCCAUAGCUACAUGGGUAAUUUGGUUCACCAUGGGAAAUGGUGAACCAAAGCUAUCUAGCUCCAGAAGACUUCCUCAGAAAGGAUGUGUCCAGUUGUUGUUCUAAACUGUUGAGCUGUGAUUUUUUGCCUAGAAAACCCGAGUGGAAUAUUUCAUCCCUGUCCCCCUCAUUUGUUGACUCCAGUCAGUGAACAUCCAACAUCAACUGGACUCUGCCUCCUUGGAAAGUCCCCAGGCCCAGUCUGGAUGGAUGACCUGUAUGAACAGUUACCUUUGACCUGGCCUUCCAACUGAAAACAAAAAGGAGGACAGUUACAUAAAAUAAUGAUGACCUACAUUCUUGACACCCUAAGUUGCCUCUGGAGCCCCAGAACCAACACCAAGCAUCGCCAGGAGAAAAAUACAAACCGAUGUCCAAUCUGCUGUUAUCCCUCAAAGGCCUCAGCAUUAGCUCAGCUUGGCUGAGCAUCAGUGGAUAUUGAUUGGUUUGGUUUUGCCGCCCAUGUUCCCUCAAGGGAGGACCAGCAUUUUUUAACAUUAAUCCACGAUGAAAUUUAAAACAAAAAAUACAUAGACUAGAUAAAAGCUUAAAAUUUCAGAAUUUUUUAUGGAGACAUAAUUUGCAAGAAGCUUCUUGGAGUUACAGAAGGAUCCUUUAAAGAAAUUGCUUACGUUUUAAAAUGCUAAACAUUAUGAAAUAAGAGAGAACAGCAGUCCUCCCUUUUCACGGGGGAAACAUUGCAAGACAUCCACCAGAUGCCUGUAACCGUGGAGUCUAGUGAACUCUAUAACUGAAUACCUUUCCAUCUUAACCAAAUUCUCAUCAUACACUGUAAUCAUAACUUUUCCAAUUAAGGUGUGACAGCAAAACUAACACAGAUUUCUUUUUUCUUCUUCACAAUUUCAGAUACAAUAUUCAUUUUUAUGGUAGCUCUUAGCAACCUCUGCAUUUUUUUUUCUGUUCUUAAGUCAAUAACUCUCACCUUUUAAAGGAAACAUUUUAAGCCUUCUCUUUGGCAUAUCUGAAUUGUCAGCAUCACUUUGGGGCCAUUAUUGAGUUAAACAAGGGUUACUUGAUCAUAGCACUACUGUGACAGUCUGAUAACUAAAAUUGCUAUUAGCAAUUAACAGGUGAGUAGUAUGUAGAGUGUGGAUACAAUGAACAAAGGGAUUAUUUAUGUCCCAGGAGGGUAGAGUUAGGCUGGCUUGUGAUCUCACCACACUACUCAGAACAGCACUCAAUUUAAAACAGAUUUCUUAUUUCUGGAAUUUUCCAUUUAAUUUAAAAAAAUAUUUUUUUUUAAAUGGAAAAUAUUUUUAGACAGCAGAUGACCAAAAGUAAUGUAACUGUAGAAAAUGAAAAUGCAGAUAAAGGGGGAUUAUCAUACUGCCAAAUGAGGAUCUUGAAACAGGAUUUAACAAAUGAGUGAUAAAAUCUUAUAAUUAUUCCAUUUCAUAUUCUUCAUGUACACAUAGUUUUGUUGCUCUAUUAAACAUGGCUUCUAUAAACUUGUUUUUCUAAUUGGCUUA
RNAcentral lists this long non-coding RNA (2299 nucleotides) under Marmota monax (woodchuck). Lineage: Eukaryota; Metazoa; Chordata; Mammalia; Rodentia; Sciuridae. The record is from RNAcentral.